Molecule: long non-coding RNA, 226 nt
Filed under: Setaria italica (foxtail millet)
Lineage: Eukaryota; Viridiplantae; Streptophyta; Magnoliopsida; Poales; Poaceae
Description: long non-coding RNA (SITA_LNC003160)
Source: RNAcentral
GAAAAUUGGAUCCACAGUAUCAAAAGAUAACCUUUAGAUAUAUGUCAUCAAAAGACUCAAGUAAAGACAUUUACGAUCAAAAGAUGAUCACGUUAUAGUUAUCUACCAUUAUGUUUGCCUCUCCAUCAGCUUUGUUGAUGCUACGGAGGACCAACGAACGAUCACACGGCCUCCGUCUCCACCUCACCGUCGCUGCAGCAGUAGGUCCAGCCAUCGCACCCUCCGU